UUUAGAGUUUGAUCCUGGCUCAGGACGAACGCUGGCGGCGUGCUUAACACAUGCAAGUCGAACGAUGAACCGCUUUCGGGCGGGGAUUAGUGGCGAACGGGUGAGUAACACGUGGGCAAUCUGCCCUGCACUCUGGGACAAGCCCUGGAAACGGGGUCUAAUACCGGAUAUGACCGUCUGCCGCAUGGUGGAUGGUGUAAAGCUCCGGCGGUGCAGGAUGAGCCCGCGGCCUAUCAGCUUGUUGGUGAGGUAGUGGCUCACCAAGGCGACGACGGGUAGCCGGCCUGAGAGGGCGACCGGCCACACUGGGACUGAGACACGGCCCAGACUCCUACGGGAGGCAGCAGUGGGGAAUAUUGCACAAUGGGCGAAAGCCUGAUGCAGCGACGCCGCGUGAGGGAUGACGGCCUUCGGGUUGUAAACCUCUUUCAGCCAGGGAAGAAGCGAAAGUGACCGUAC
RNAcentral lists this ribosomal RNA (459 nucleotides) under Streptomyces albidoflavus. RNAcentral describes it as "bacterial SSU rRNA". It matches the Rfam family "Bacterial small subunit ribosomal RNA", at positions 1 to 478 of the family's 1533-position model. The record is from RNAcentral. Lineage: Bacteria; Bacillati; Actinomycetota; Actinomycetes; Kitasatosporales; Streptomycetaceae.